RNAcentral lists this non-coding RNA (253 nucleotides) under Poliovirus 3. Its description in RNAcentral is "Human poliovirus 3 Picornavirus internal ribosome entry site (IRES)". It matches the Rfam family "Picornavirus internal ribosome entry site (IRES)". Rfam says of the family: IRES elements allow cap and end-independent translation of mRNA in the host cell. Lineage: Riboviria; Orthornavirae; Pisuviricota; Pisoniviricetes; Picornavirales; Picornaviridae. The record is from Rfam by way of RNAcentral.
CAUGGGACGCUAGUUGUGAACAAGGUGUGAAGAGCCUAUUGAGCUACCCAAGAGUCCUCCGGCCCCUGAAUGCGGCUAAUCCUAACCACGGAGCAAGUGUCCUCAACCCAGGGGAUGGCUUGUCGUAACGCGAAAGUCUGUGGCGGAACCGACUACUUUGGGUGUCCGUGUUUCCUUUUAUUUUUAUGUAUGGCUGCUUAUGGUGACAAUCAAAGGUUGUUACCAUAAAGCAAUUUGGAUUGGCCAUCCGGUG